GAUGAACGCUAGCGGCAGGCUUAACACAUGCAAGUCGAGGGGCAGCACGAUGUAGCAAUACAUGGGUGGCGACCGGCGCACGGGUGCGUAACACGUAUGGAAUCUGCCCUUUACUGGGGGAUAGCCCGGAGAAAUCCGGAUUAAUACCCCAUAACAAUCGAGGUGGCAUCACCUUGAUUUGAAAGCUCCGGCGGUAAAGGAUGACCAUGCGCACGAUUAGCUAGUUGGUGAGGUAACGGCUCACCAAGGCUACGAUCGUUAGGGGGCCUGAGAGGGUUAUCCCCCACACUGGUACUGAGACACGGACCAGACUCCUACGGGAGGCAGCAGUGAGGAAUAUUGCGCAAUGGAGGCAACUCUGACGCAGCCAUGCCGCGUGCAGGAAGAAGGCGCUACGCGUUGUAAACUGCUUUUAACCGGGAAGAAACCCCAGGACGUGUCCUGGGUUGACGGUACCGGAGGAAUAAGCACCGGCUAACUUCGUG
This 485-nucleotide ribosomal RNA is filed under the name uncultured bacterium. Its description in RNAcentral is "bacterial SSU rRNA". It matches the Rfam family "Bacterial small subunit ribosomal RNA", at positions 28 to 507 of the family's 1533-position model. The record is from RNAcentral.